GUCAGGAUGGCCGAGCGGUCCAAGGCGCUGCGUUCAGGUCGCAGUCCGGUCUUCCGGGCGUGGGUUCAAAUCCCACUCCUGACA
Molecule: transfer RNA, 84 nt
Filed under: Homarus americanus (American lobster)
Lineage: Eukaryota; Metazoa; Arthropoda; Malacostraca; Decapoda; Nephropidae
Also listed under: 1 other name
Description: tRNA-Leu
Rfam family: tRNA
About the family: Transfer RNA (tRNA) molecules are approximately 80 nucleotides in length.
Source: Rfam by way of RNAcentral